UGGUGAUAGACAGUAGUAUCAAUAUCUGGUUGAGAGCAUUUGCCGGUUUAAAAAAUAGGUGAUUAUUUCUAAGCAUUUCCUGUUAUUAAGCUGCCAUAUUUUGGUCAUCUGCUUGUUGCUUUGGACGUGUAUUGCUGCUGGGUUCUUAUGAAAUCUGGACUAGUUCCCUUCUGCUGGAACUUGAGCUUAUCUUUGUUUUUCUGAAAUGGAAUGGUGCCUGUUCUGUUUCUCUGCUUGUGUUGAUUACUUAGUCAUGUUGAUUUUUGUAUGUUGAACGAGUUGCUGAUAUUUCCUCAUUCUUGCCGAUUUAUCUGUUUGUAACAUCUAUCUCUGAGUUUUAGUUUACCGAAAAAAGAAUAAUGAUGGUAAUGCAUUUGCAUAAGUGGUAUUUCAUUUUAUCUUGUAUGGUAAUCUUGAUGGGUGACUUUUGGGUUCAGUUUGUUCAUUGAUUCCUGGUCCCACUCAUCAUGAUAAGCAUUUCAUAUUGUACAGAUCAAAUUUUUGUUUUUCAUACACAUGUUACUUGCCUCAUGAAACAUCCAAGUUAUGUACACAUAUUUUUUGUGAUUUGAUCAUGAAACAUCCAAGUUAUGUACAACAAGGUGUUCAUCAUGCCAGGCUUCGCGGCGCUACUGCUUCCAUGUGACGGUGUUGUUUGGCAUUGGCUACAAAAACGGCCACGGUGAGGUCCUCUCGUUCCUCCACUCCCUGCCUCCGGUGGUUGCUCUGAGCUUGUUGUGUCCAUCGAGCCACGGCUAUGGUGAUCGAUUUGCGUUCAUGUUCAUUGUGCCAUUUCUAUGUCUGGUCAGGCUGCUAUAGUAUGUCCUUGCAUAAUGACGAUGCUACCGUUUCUUGUUUUGUUCCUUUGCUUGUUGGUCUAUCUGUUUGGUAAUUAUGAUGCUACCAUUGUUUGCUUCAGGGUGUAGUAUCACCACUACCUGCCUUCCUCCUUCCUGAAAUUGUGACAGUAUAUAAGUGGUUUGUGUACCAUGAUCUCAAUAUGGAGUGGUUUUUAUUUCCAAGGAUGCCUUCCUACUCCUGCUAGUUCUGAUGUCAUACAGUUUGACUAAAUCUAAACGAAUACGAAUCAGGUUCAUGGUUGAGCAUUUUGUUUUGAUGAUUCAACAUAAGAUCAGAUGUGACACUGAGUUCAGUCUCUCCUGCCUUGGUUUUCAGAUUCAUGAUUUUCUUUCACAAUUCAUGAUUUCCUUUCGCACGAAGCUUGCUUUAUGGUUGUCUAUGAAUUUUCGCUUGCUCUAUAUGUAUGAUAGCUUCUGUAUUUUGUUGUUGUUUGCUCAAAAUAUUAUGUCCGGCGAAGUAUUUAUUUCCAAGCUGGCAAUGCUUUAUAGGUGUCUUUGUUUACUAGAAUUGGAAGCUCGGUCUGCAUUUUGUAGAGGAAGCUUUUGUUUUUUUACAACUCACCGACAGGUCCUUGUUAGACAGCUGUGCAAUUUGAAGUAUUGUGUCGGCAUGCAUCUUUGUAUUUGUACUGUGUUGAUCAGAGAGAGAGACCUGACUCGGUGGUCCUUUGAUGUUACAGGAGAGCAUAUAUAUGUGAAGAAAAGAAAAGGCUGGGAGUCAUCGUUGUUACAAGAUGACGCUCAAGGGAAGAAAAUCUAUGCUGGAGAUGGGGGAGCAAGUUUGAUCUUGCAGAGGGUGAGAGGACGGACGGAUGGACCUUAUAGCGACUCUUGGUUGUAAUUGAGCUUGUUUUGUGUUCAACGCAGGCGCUGUUUGCUCCUCUUGAUUACCAUUCAGUUUCUGAAGAAGCACAAGACGCACGACGAGUCCAUGAAAAUUAGUAAUGGCCUGAGCUGUGCAAUCCAAGCUCAAAGCGACUUGAUCCAGUAGCUCCGCACUAGGAUACCGUGAUGUUUGCGGUCGUCUGCCAACAAGACUAGCGUAGCGCAAACUUGUGUGAUAAUUUGUUGGCCCUGUCUAUUGUUCUGCUGUACAUAAGUGAAUUCUCAAGCGAGAGUGAUAUGAAAUCUGAAUAGGUUUGAAAGUUGCACCUGCAAAUUAGUUGCAUAUUUCCAUGAACCUCUCUUAAAUGGGCGCCUGUGGAUUAUAGAGCAGGUCUAUUUGCAAGUUUGUCAAUCAAGAAAUGAGCCACAUCUCAAAUUGCAUAUGCUUAGUGUGUUGUGGCUGAUGAACUUUCAAAAUUCACAACUGGAAUCAGUCUAGACCUGUAGCUGUGUAGCAUUGCCGGUCUUAUGAUCUCAUCAUUUGUUACGUAUGGAUAUGGUACUAGAUGCAUGGCACGUUCAAAUCUAAUUGAAGUAUUACAUGCAUGGCCCGUUCAAUGCAAAAUCAUGUACAAUACAGGGAAAAUUGUCUUGGUUAAUUGCAUAAAGAGUCGGUCCAUAUUUUCAACAUUUUUAUAAAAAGAAACAUGUUGCUUGAGAAUUUGCGAUUUGUUUUCUGGCUGGUUCUUGAGUUGAAAUGAAAUGGGGAAAAAUGUAUUUGUGGAAUUGAAUUAUUAUUUGUUGAUGAUUUGAAAAAUAUGUGUUGAUUUA
Molecule: long non-coding RNA, 2516 nt
Filed under: Triticum aestivum (bread wheat)
Lineage: Eukaryota; Viridiplantae; Streptophyta; Magnoliopsida; Poales; Poaceae
Description: long non-coding RNA (TAES_LNC001938)
Source: RNAcentral